Molecule: ribosomal RNA, 460 nt
Filed under: uncultured bacterium
Lineage: Bacteria
Description: partial 16S ribosomal RNA
Rfam family: Bacterial small subunit ribosomal RNA
Source: RNAcentral
CCUACGGGUGGCAGCAGUGAGGAAUAUUGGUCAAUGGGCUUACGCCUGAACCAGCCAAGUCGCGUGAGGGAAGACUGCCCUAUGGGUUGUAAACCUCUUUUGUCAGGGAGCAACGCCGGCUACGUGUAGCCUGCCUGAUAGUACCUGAAGAUAAAGCAUCGGCUAACCCCGUGCCAGCAGCCGCGGUAAUACGGAGGAUGCGAGCGUUGUCCGGAUUUAUUGGGUUUAAAGGGUGCGUAGGCGGAAUGCCAAGUCAGCGGUAAAAUCGCGGGGCUCAACCUCACUCCGCCGUUGAAACUGGCGUACUUGAGUGGGCGAGAGGUAUGCGGAAUGCGUGGUGUAGCGGUGAAAUGCAUAGAUAUAACGCAGAACUCCGAUUGCGAAGGCAGCAUACCGGCGUGCAACUGACGCUGAAGCACGAAAGCGUGGGUAGCGAACAGGAUUAGAUACCCGAGUAGUC